GGUAAGGAAUAACGUCGAGAAAUCGGCGCUAAUACCUCAUUAAUGCAGCGGAUCCGCAUGGAUAUGUUGUUAAAGGUUUACCGCCUUGGGAUAGGCUUGCGUCUGAUUAGUUAGUUGGUGUGGUAACGGCACACCAAGGCUACGAUCAGUAACUGGUCUGAGAGGAUGAUCAGUCACACUGGAACUGAGACACGGUCCAGACUCCUACGGGAGGCAGCAGUGAGGAAUAUUGGGCAAUGCUCGAAAGAGUGACCCAGCAACGCCGCGUGGAGGAUGAAGGUAUUCUAUAUCGUAAACUCCUGUGAGAGCAGACGAAAGACAGAUUAUUAAUCUGGAUGACUGUAUGCUCAGAGGAAGCCCCGGCUAACUACGUG
Molecule: ribosomal RNA, 374 nt
Filed under: uncultured bacterium
Lineage: Bacteria
Description: bacterial SSU rRNA
Rfam family: Bacterial small subunit ribosomal RNA
Source: RNAcentral